UACGCAGGGGGCGAGCGUUGUCCGGAAUUAUUGGGCGUAAAGAGCGCGCAGGUGGUUGAUUAAGUCUGAUGUGAAAGCCCACGGCUUAACCGUGGAGGGUCAUUGGAAACUGGUCGACUUGAGUGCAGAAGAGGGAAGUGGAAUUCCAUGUGUAGCGGUGAAAUGCGUAGAGAUAUGGAGGAACACCAGUGGCGAAGGCGGCUUCCUGGUCUGUAACUGACACUGAGGCGCGUAAGCGUGGGGAGCAAACAGGAUUAGAUA
This 261-nucleotide ribosomal RNA is filed under the name uncultured prokaryote. Its description in RNAcentral is "partial 16S ribosomal RNA". It matches the Rfam family "Bacterial small subunit ribosomal RNA", at positions 524 to 784 of the family's 1533-position model. The record is from RNAcentral.